CUCCCGCCGGCGACCGGCGCACGGGUGAGUAACACGUAUGAAACCUGCCCGUAGCAGGGGGAUAAGCGGAAGAAAUUCCGUCUAAUACCGCGUAACAACCCAUGGAGGCAUCUCUGUGGGUUUAAAGGAAGCGAUUCCGGCUACGGAUGGUCAUGCGUCGCAUUAGCUUGUUGGCGGGGUAACGGCCCACCAAGGCGACGAUGCGUAGGGGUUCUGGGAGGAAGGUCCCCCACACUGGUACUGAGACACGGACCAGACUCCUACGGGAGGCAGCAG
RNAcentral lists this ribosomal RNA (276 nucleotides) under uncultured bacterium. RNAcentral describes it as "partial 16S ribosomal RNA". It matches the Rfam family "Bacterial small subunit ribosomal RNA", at positions 82 to 354 of the family's 1533-position model. The record is from RNAcentral.